Oncorhynchus keta (chum salmon) is the source of this 616-nucleotide long non-coding RNA. RefSeq lists it as uncharacterized. The transcript is spliced from 5 exons. Lineage: Eukaryota; Metazoa; Chordata; Actinopteri; Salmoniformes; Salmonidae. The record is from RefSeq and is a predicted model, not a curated record.
UGGAGAAAUCACAUCCUAUUGGUCACCUGCUUGGUAAACAACAGGUGGAGACUAACAGGGAAAUGUUUUCAACAAAGACAGAAUAAAGGAAAAGAUGUCCUGACAGAAGGUCAGAGGGAUAAUGUCCUGACAGAAGGUUAGAGGGAUAAUGUCCUGACAGAAUAAAGGAAAAGAUGUCCUGACAGAAUGUCAGAGGGAUAAUGUCCUGACAGAAGGUUAGAGGGAUAAUGUCCUGACAGAAGGUUAGAGGGAUAAUGUCCUGACAGAAUGUCAGAGGGAUAAUGUCCUGACAGAAGGUAAGAGGGAUAAUGUCCUGACAGAAUAAAGGAAAAGAUGUCCUGACAGAAGGUCAGAGGGAUAAUGUCCUGACAGAAGGUUAGAGGGAUACUGUCCUGACAGAAGGUUAGAGGGAUAAUGUCCUGACAGAAUGUCAGAGGGAUAAUGUCCUGACAGAAGGUCAGAGGGAUAAUGCCCUGACAGAAGGUCAGAGGGAUAAUGUCCUGACAGAAGGUUAGAGGGAUAAUGUCCUGACAGAAUGUCAGAGGGAUAAUGUCCUGACAGAAGGUCAGAGGGAUAAUGUACUGACAGAAGGUUAGAGGGAUAAUGUCCUGACAGA